CCAGCGUGGCAACCAGAUUGGUGCCAGGUUUUGGGAGAUCAUCAGUGAUGAACAUGGGAUUGACCCCACUGGCUGUUACCAUGGAGACAGUGAUUUGCAGCUGGAGAGAAUCAAUGUUUACUACAACGAAGCACUGGUAACAAAUAUGUUCCCCUGGACAUCCUCGUGGAUCUGGAGCCAGGCAGGAUGGAUUCUGUUAGGUCUGGACCAUUCAACCAGAUCUUCAGACCAGACAAUUUUGUAUUUGACCAGAGCGGAGCUGGGAAUAACUGGGCCAGGGGCCACCACACAGAGGGAGCUGAGCUGGUAGACUCGGUCCUGGAUGUGGUGAAGAAGGAGUCAGCUGUGACUGUCUCCAGGGCUUCCAGCUGACCCACUCUCUGGGGGGUGGCACGGGGUCCAGGAUGGGCACUCUGCUAAUCAGCAAGAUCUGGGAGGAGUACCCAGACCACAUCAUGAACACUUCCAGCAUCAUGCCCUUACCCAAGGCGUCAGACACGGUGGUGGAGCCCUACAAUGCCACCCUCUCUGUCCACCAGCUGGUGGAAAACACAGAUGAAACCUAUUGCAUAGAAAACGAGGCCCUGUAUGACAUCUGCUUCCACACCCUGAAACUGACCACCCCCGUCUACGGGGACCUCAACACCUGGUGUCAGCCACCAUGAGCGGGGUCACCAUCCGCCUGCGCUUCCUGGGCCAGCUGAAUGCAGACCCGCACAAGCUGGUGGUGAACACAGUGCCCUUCCCAUGCCUGCACCUCUUCAUGCCAGCUUAGUGCCCCUGAUCAGCUGAGGCAGCCAGCAGUACCGCACGAUCAUGGUGCCUGAGCUCACCCAGCAGAUGUUCGACUCCAAGAACAUAAUGGCCACCUGCGACCCCCGCCACAGCUACUACCUGACGGUGGCUGCCAUCUUCCGGGGCCACAUGUCCAUGAAGGAGGUGGAUGAGCAGAUGCUCAACGUGCAGAACAAGAACAGCAGCUACUUCGUGGAGUGAAUCCCCAACAACAUGAAGACAUUCGUGUGCGACAUUCCGCCUGGUGGCCUGAAGACGUCGGCCACCUUCAUUGCCAAGAGCACGGCCAUCCAGGAGCUGUUCAAGCACAUCUCGGAGCAGUUCACGGCCAUGUUCCGGCACAAGGCCUUCCUGCACUGGUACACGUGUGAGGGCAUGGACCAGAUGGAGUUCACCGAGGCCGAGAGCAGCAUGAACGACCUGGUGUCUGAGUACCAGCAGUACCAGGAUGUCAUGGCCGACGAACAAGGGGAGUUUGAGGAGGAGGAGGGUGAGGAGGAGGUGUAG
Molecule: non-coding RNA, 1302 nt
Organism: Saimiri boliviensis boliviensis (Bolivian squirrel monkey)
Lineage: Eukaryota; Metazoa; Chordata; Mammalia; Primates; Cebidae
Source: RefSeq, a predicted model, not a curated record